CGGGGAGCUUCGUUGGCGAUGGAGUCCGAUUGCUCGGUGGAUUUGGAGAAAGGGGUUGGUGAAACCAAGGUGCAUUUGGAGAAAAUUGAAAGAGAUUAUAG
Molecule: long non-coding RNA, 101 nt
Organism: Ipomoea nil (Japanese morning glory)
Lineage: Eukaryota; Viridiplantae; Streptophyta; Magnoliopsida; Solanales; Convolvulaceae
Exons: 3
Source: RefSeq, a predicted model, not a curated record